This is an RNA transcript of Sander lucioperca (pikeperch), 2482 nucleotides long. It is a transcript of the gene named GA-binding protein subunit beta-1-like, with no coding region annotated. The record is from RefSeq and is a predicted model, not a curated record. NCBI's taxonomy places the organism in Eukaryota, Metazoa, Chordata, Actinopteri, Perciformes, Percidae. The transcript is spliced from 8 exons.
AUGUCACUGGUGCAUCUUGGGCAGCAGCUGCUGGAGGCGGUGCGGAGUGGACAGGAUGAUGAUGUCAAAGCUCUGAUGGCCAAUGGUGCUCCGUUCACCACGGACUGGUUGGGCUCAUCGCCGCUGCAUUUCGCAGCCCAGUACGGUCAUCACUCCACCGCCGAGGUGCUGCUGCGUGCCGGGGUCAGCAGGGACGCCCGAACAAAGGUGGACAAGACCCCUCUUCACAUCGCCGCCUCAGAGGGUCACUCCACCAUAGUGGACCUGUUGGCGCAGAACGGCGCCAACAUCAACGCCAAAGACAUGCUGAAGAUGACUGCGCUGCACUGGGCGGCUCAGCACGGCCACAGGGAGGUGGCGGAGCUCCUGCUGAGGCACGGCGCAGACGUCCACUGCCUCAGCAAGUUUGACAAGACGCCCUUCGACAUCGCCAUGGAUACCAGCAACACGGAGCUGAUGAUACUGCUACAGGACGGCAUGCAGAACCAGGUAAACAUGGACCCAGAGUCCCACUACAUCAUCCGUUCUGGUGGGCUGGUCAACCUCUCAGACCUGGUCAACGCCACCAAAACCAGUGCAGGCAAGUCAGAGGACGUCAUGGCUGCCGAGUCGGUGGAAGCAACCUUUCAGCAUGUGGUGGGCGACGGCGGGCAAAGGGUCAUUACCAUAGUGACGGACCAACACGGCAACCUGCAGCCAGCGUCCCUGGGCCAGCAGUACAUCUUCACCCUGCAGGGGCAGCAGAUGGUGGCUUUGCCAGCCGGCGCAAUCACAGAGGAGGUGGUGGUCGAGGAUCCUCAGCAGGCCACGCCCAAACGCAAGAGGUACACAGACCCCUCAGCCAAUCACGUCGGCCUAAAAGACAAGAAGGUGAAAGAGAGUCGCGAGCAGCUGCAGCGGCAGCUGCAGGAAGCCAAUCUCAAAGCCGAGGGGUACCAGCAGCAGCUCCUGCAGAAGGAGCAGGAGGCCGAGCAGUAUCGCCUUAAACUGGAGCAGGCCAUAGCAACCAGUCACAGCAGCAUCAACAACGCCAUCACUGCGACGACCGUUACCUUAAACAACGGCGCUACAUUGAAGCAGCAGGAGGAGGAGGAGGUGAUGGUAGAGGAGCAGCUAGAGACGACACAGGAAGCUGCAACAAAAGAAGUGGAAGAAGGGGAGAGGGAAAACAUGGAGGAGGGGGAAGAGGUCAUCUUCCUUCCAGAAGAUGCGAUUUUUGUGAAUGAGCGCGAGCUGGAAGUGGAGGUCGAUGGUACAGAGGAAACACACAAGUCUUCCCCCCGUCAGCGAGGCCAAGGUAGAAGGAGAGGGAGAGGCAGAGGUGGACGCAGACACUAGCUGACAUGUUUUGUGAUCAUCUAUUUAACUGAUUUUAUAACCUUUUGUAAACAAAAAGACUUUUGUAAAUAUGUCCAUAUGUUUUCAUGCAGCACAAACAUCAAGAGGACUUUAGAUUUACAUGACUUUAUAGACCAUUUCACAGUUGUCAACAUUAACAUUCUAAAUGGCCCCAAGUUGAUUUCCUGUUGUAAUGUAUGUGAAUGACAUUAACUGACAGGAAGUUAACAAGAGGCCAGGCUGUUGCCUAGCAAUGGGAUUCCAUUAAAAAAGGUCUAUAGGACUUUACAUCAGGCACACACUGAGCCUGGAGAGGACAUGCAUCAUGGACUUUGGAUGAUGUUCAGUGCUUCACUACUUUAUCUCUUUGUGUUUCAUAGCUCUGGGAUCACCUGUAAUUUCGUGACCAUCCUCCCAACUGAAUGGUAGCUGAGCUAGGAUUUGUGUCGAGGGCGCUCAGACUGUGAUGUGUCACUCGGUGAAUGGGCCUCAGUGGAGGCGCACAGUACAGUCAAAGAUAAUCAAGAAGCAAUUACAGUAAGAGCACUCAGUGAUCUCUUAUCCAGGGUGACCUGCAGUGAGCAGAUAGGAGCUUCACCAAAAUGCACCACAGUUGAUGGAACACACCCUAUCUUUUCUGGGAAUCAAACUUGUGACCUUUAUAUUUUUAGAGCAGCGUCUUCAGCUACUCAGCCACCGUCCACCCAGUUAUUUUACUGUGUAAUAUUACUGAUUCAAUACGAGUAACAACAAGACGUAAAAUUACGUUUUAAUGUUAAUUCUUUGUCUAUAUGACGGUUUUCACACACGUCUGUUGGGAGAUGUUGACGACCAAAAUCAUGAGUGGAGGGAUAAGGAUGGUUCAACUUUAAACGCAGCAGCAUUAGGGCCAUUUCCCACGAGGACAAAUUACGGAGCCAGUUUGGGGAUUUUGAAUUUGAUUGUUUGUUUGUUUUUCAUUAAUUCACAGCCCAUAUUUUCAUUAUUGAAACUGUCAGGGGACGUUUGUUUACAUGUUUGCACUUCAGGGCUUUAUUCAUCAGAACUUCUUAUCUUUUGAGACAACAAGUUUGUAAAACGUAAUUAUGUGAUUCUUUUUGUGUCUGUUUUUUGUCACUGAGGCAAUAAAGUGUGUACUCAUUAA